UUGGCAUAGCUCAGUUGGUAGACCAUAAGACUCUUAAUCUCAGGGUCAUGGGUUCAAGCCUCACAUCAGGUGAAAAG
This 77-nucleotide transfer RNA is filed under the name Podarcis lilfordi (Lilford's wall lizard). RNAcentral describes it as "tRNA.Lys". Lineage: Eukaryota; Metazoa; Chordata; Lepidosauria; Squamata; Lacertidae. The record is from RNAcentral.